GGGGAUCGGGGUUCUAAAGACUCCCAAAACCAUUGUGAACGUACCCGUCAGCGUUGCCUCGGCGGGCGGCCCCUCCCUGGGGCCGCUGCCUCCCUCGGGGGGUGCCCGCCGGCGUACCAAAACUCUUUUGUAUUUUAGUGGCCUCUCUGAGAAAACAAGCAAAUAAGUUAAAACUUUCAACAACGGAUCUCUUGGUUCUGGCAUCGAUGAAGAACGCAGCGAAAUGCGAUAAGUAAUGUGAAUUGCAGAAUUCAGUGAAUCAUCGAAUCUUUGAACGCACAUUGCGCCCGCCAGUACUCUGGCGGGCAUGCCUGUUCGAGCGUCAUUUCAACCCUCAAGCCCUGCUUGGUGUUGGGGUCCUACGGCUGCCGUAGGCCCUGAAAGCUAGUGGCGGGCUCGCUAUAACUCCGAGCGUAGUAGUAAAAUAUCUCGCUAGGGAGGUGUCGCGGGUUCCGGCCGUGAAAGCCCAUCUUUUACACAAGGUUGACCUCGGAUCAGGUAGGAAUACCCGCUGAACUUAAGCAUAUCAAAAGCCCGGAGGAAA
Molecule: ribosomal RNA, 544 nt
Filed under: fungal sp. SS7
Lineage: Eukaryota; Fungi
Description: eukaryotic LSU rRNA
Rfam family: 5.8S ribosomal RNA (bases 172-325)
Source: RNAcentral